Molecule: long non-coding RNA, 405 nt
Organism: Python bivittatus (Burmese python)
Lineage: Eukaryota; Metazoa; Chordata; Lepidosauria; Squamata; Pythonidae
Source: RefSeq, a predicted model, not a curated record
AUUCUCAUCUCACCAGGCUGGAACUGAAAUUCUUUUUGUGAAAAUUUCACGGAAAAGAAAUCCCAACAGGCCAGCGCAAGUAACGAACAAAACAAGAGCUGAAAUUGAUCAAAAAUGUCUGAAGGUCUAGGUUCCAGAUCAAAAGACUGCUGCUUUGAAACUCUUCAGGAAGACGCUGGAGGCUCAAGAACAAAAUGAAACUUCAGCAAAGUGUUCAUUGAGUUUUCCUUACUGCCUUGAAGCAACCCUCCAAUGACUAAUUGCUUGGAUUGAGACUGCACAUCAACAAGUAUUUUAACAUUUUCAAGACUCUGGGAUGGGGCCUAUAUUUUCUGUACUGAAUCCCAAUGUUAUGCCUACCUAUCUAUGCUCAUGAUAGAUACCAAAAUUAAUAAAGAAUAUGUG